CCCGCUGAACUUAAGCAUAUCAAUAAGCGGAGGAAAAGAAACUAACAAGGAUUCCCCUAGUAACUGCGAGUGAAGCGGGAAAAGCUCAAAUUUAAAAUCUGGCGGUCUUUCGGCCGUCCGAGUUGUAAUCUGGAGAAGCGUUUAUCCGCGUUGGACCGUGUACAAGUCUUCUGGAAGGGAGCGUCAUAGAGGGUGAGAAUCCCGUCUUUGACACGGACUACCAAUGCUUUUGUGAUGCGCUCUCGAAGAGUCGAGUUGUUUGGGAAUGCAGCUCAAAAUGGGUGGUAAAUUCCAUCUAAAGCUAAAUAUUGGCGAGAGACCGAUAGCGAACAAGUACCGUGAGGGAAAGAUGAAAAGCACUUUGGAAAGAGAGUUAAACAGUACGUGAAAUUGUUGAAAGGGAAACGUUUGAAGUCAGUCGCGUCGGCCGAGACUCAGCCUUGCUUAUGCUUGGUUUACUUCCCGUUGGGUGGGUCAACGUCAGUUUUGGUCAGAGGAGAAAGGCUUGGGGAAGGUAGCAGCAUCUGCUGUGUUAUAGCCCCUUGUUGUAUACUUUGACUGGGACUGAGGACCGCAGUGCGCCUUUACGGCCGGGGCAAGCCCACGUACGCACUUAGGAUGUUGGCAUAAUGGCUUUAAGUGACCCGUCUUGAAACACGG
RNAcentral lists this ribosomal RNA (660 nucleotides) under uncultured fungus. Its description in RNAcentral is "eukaryotic LSU rRNA". It matches the Rfam family "Eukaryotic large subunit ribosomal RNA", at positions 24 to 664 of the family's 3401-position model. The record is from RNAcentral. Lineage: Eukaryota; Fungi.